This 497-nucleotide ribosomal RNA is filed under the name uncultured bacterium. RNAcentral's name for it is "partial 16S ribosomal RNA". It matches the Rfam family "Bacterial small subunit ribosomal RNA", at positions 28 to 507 of the family's 1533-position model. The record is from RNAcentral.
GAUGAACGCUGGCGGCGUGCCUAAUACAUGCAAGUAGAACGCUGAAGCUUGGUGCUUGCACCGAGCGGAUGAGUUGCGAACGGGUGAGUAACGCGUAGGUAACCUGCCUGGUAGCGGGGGAUAACUAUUGGAAACGAUAGCUAAUACCGCAUAACAGUAGAUAUUGCAUGAUAUCUGCUUGAAAGGUGCAAAUGCAUCACUACCAGAUGGACCUGCGUUGUAUUAGCUAGUUGGUGAGGUAACGGCUCACCAAGGCGACGAUACAUAGCCGACCUGAGAGGGUGAUCGGCCACACUGGGACUGAGACACGGCCCAGACUCCUACGGGAGGCAGCAGUAGGGAAUCUUCGGCAAUGGGGGGAACCCUGACCGAGCAACGCCGCGGGAGUGAAGAAGGUUUUCGGAUCGUAAAGCUCUGUUGUAAGAGAAGAACGAGUGUGAGAGUGGAAAGUUCACACUGUGACGGUAUCUUACCAGAAAGGGACGGCUAACUACGUG